UCGUCUGACUUGGGUAUAGGG
This 21-nucleotide non-coding RNA is filed under the name Arabidopsis thaliana (thale cress). Lineage: Eukaryota; Viridiplantae; Streptophyta; Magnoliopsida; Brassicales; Brassicaceae. The record is from RNAcentral.